GACGAACGCUGGCGGCGUACUUAACACAUGCAAGUCGAACGGAAGGGCCCUGCUUUUGUGGGGUGCUCGAGUGGCGAACGGGUGAGUAACACGUGAGUAACCUGCCCUUGACUUUGGGAUAACUUCAGGAAACUGGGGCUAAUACCGGAUAGGAGCUCCUGCUGCAUGGUGGGGGUUGGAAAGUUUCGGCGGUUGGGGAUGGACUCGCGGCUUAUCAGCUUGUUGGUGGGGUAGUGGCUUACCAAGGCUUUGACGGGUAGCCGGCCUGAGAGGGUGACCGGCCACAUUGGGACUGAGAUACGGCCCAGACUCCUACGGGAGGCAGCAGUGGGGAAUAUUGCACAAUGGGCGGAAGCCUGAUGCAGCAACGCCGCGUGCGGGAUGACGGCCUUCGGGUUGUAAACCGCUUUCGCCUGUGACGAAGCGUGAGUGACGGUAAUGGGUAAAGAAGCACCGGCUAACUACGUG
RNAcentral lists this ribosomal RNA (468 nucleotides) under uncultured bacterium. RNAcentral describes it as "partial 16S ribosomal RNA". It matches the Rfam family "Bacterial small subunit ribosomal RNA", at positions 28 to 507 of the family's 1533-position model. The record is from RNAcentral.